RNAcentral lists this ribosomal RNA (262 nucleotides) under uncultured bacterium. RNAcentral describes it as "partial 16S ribosomal RNA". It matches the Rfam family "Bacterial small subunit ribosomal RNA", at positions 793 to 1055 of the family's 1533-position model. The record is from RNAcentral.
GUCCACGCCCUAAACGAUGUCAACUGGUUGUUGGGUCUUCACUGACUCAGUAACGAAGCUAACGCGUGAAGUUGACCGCCUGGGGAGUACGGCCGCAAGGUUGAACUCAAAUGAAUUGACGGGGACCCGCACAAGCGGUGGAUGAUGUGGUUUAAUUCGAUGCAACGCGAAAACCUUACCCACCUUUGACAUGUACGGAAGUCGCUAGAGAUAGCUUCGUGCUCGAAAGAGAGCCGUAACACAGGUGCUGCAUGGCUGUCGU